Molecule: long non-coding RNA, 713 nt
Organism: Junco hyemalis (dark-eyed junco)
Lineage: Eukaryota; Metazoa; Chordata; Aves; Passeriformes; Passerellidae
Source: Ensembl
AGAGGGGGGAAGCUGAAGGCAGCUAUAAUCUGCUUUGUAAUAUGCUUCCUUUUCUAUCCCCUUUCUUCACAGAAAGUCUCUCACAAGACUUUGACCUAGGAUGGCACUUCAUUCCUGCAGACCUGUGACAAGUCAUGGCAGUGUCCCCUGAGUCGAGCUCACAGCAUGCUCAGGGGCUGCCUCCUCUGCAGUGUCCUGUGUUACCUCCUCAGUGGCCCAAGUGCAGGACAUACCUAUGAGCCAGUAGUAAAGCACACACCAAGCUGAAGACUCAGGAAGCCUUGGGAAAGAGCGUGCCUCUUGCUUGCUUUCCUGUCUGAUUUGAUCUUACCAAGGGGCCAUGGUGGAUCAUGAAAAUCUCCCUGCUCCCAACUGAGCAGUCACAGAGAAGCACUGGAUGUCCAUCUUCCUCCUUUGGCCUUGUCCUCAUUUGGAUACUGACCCUCUCCCCAGCACAGAUCGUCUCUCCUCUGCUAGACAUCCUUGUGUUCCCAUGCCCCAGUUUCCCAGGAAUGGAUGUGAAUGCAGCUGUUGGGAGAGUCGGUGCCCAUCUGCCUGGGUCGAAUGCUGCACUGGGAGCAACACUGCUGUUGCCUGUGGGGCAGAGCCAGGAUGUGAGUGAACACUUCAGAAUCAGGCUGGGGUGUGCAAGUUCAAGCACAGGUAAAAGUUUUGUUAACAUUUGUUGGGUUUUUUUAACCUCAGAUGCAUAG